GACGAACGCUGGCGGCGCGCUUAACACAUGCAAGUCGAACGGAAAGGCCUGCUUUCCCUUGUGGAUUGCGGGUACUCGAGUGGCGAACGGGUGAGUAACACGUGAGUGAUCUGCCCCCAACUUGGGUAUAAGCCUGGGAAACUGGGUCUAAUUCCCGAUAGGACUGCAGGGUGGUGCCUGUGGUGGAAAACGAUUUUCUAGUGGUUGGGGAUGAGCUCGCGGCCUAUCAGCUUGUUGGUGGGGUAAUGGCCUACCAAGGCGGCGACGGGUAGCCGGCCUGAGAGGGUGGACGGCCACAUUGGGACUGAGAUACGGCCCAGACUCCUACGGGAGGCAGCAGUGGGGAAUAUUGCACAAGGGGCGGAAGCCUGAUGCAGCGACGCCGCGUGGGGGAUGACGGCCUUCGGGUUGUAAACUCCUUUCGACCGCGAGGAAGCCACCUGGUUGGAAGGGUGGUGACGGUAGUGGGAGAAGAAGCACCGGCUAACUACGUG
This 494-nucleotide ribosomal RNA is filed under the name uncultured bacterium. RNAcentral describes it as "partial 16S ribosomal RNA". It matches the Rfam family "Bacterial small subunit ribosomal RNA", at positions 28 to 507 of the family's 1533-position model. The record is from RNAcentral.